GUUUACUGCCAUGCUACCCUGAACAAGCCCGAUCCCAUCUGAUCUUGGAAGCUAAGCACGGUUCGGCCUGGUUAGUGCUUAGAUGGCAGACCACCUAGGAAGACCAGGUCCUGUAGGUG
RNAcentral lists this ribosomal RNA (119 nucleotides) under Pteropus alecto (black flying fox). The record is from RNAcentral. Lineage: Eukaryota; Metazoa; Chordata; Mammalia; Chiroptera; Pteropodidae.